RNAcentral lists this ribosomal RNA (406 nucleotides) under uncultured bacterium. RNAcentral's name for it is "partial 16S ribosomal RNA". It matches the Rfam family "Bacterial small subunit ribosomal RNA", at positions 29 to 526 of the family's 1533-position model. The record is from RNAcentral.
AUUGAACGCUGGCGGCAGGCUUAACACAUGCAAGUCGAGCGCGCGGCGGACGGGUGCGUUAUGUCUGGGAAACCGUCUGCUGGAGGGGGAUAACUACUGGAAACGGUAGCUAAUACCGCAUACUACCAGAUGUUCCCAGAUGGGAGUAGCUAGUAGGUGGGGUAAUGGCGCACCUAGGCGACGAGCCCCAGCUGGUCUGAGAGGAUCACCAGCCACCCGGGAACUGGGCCACGGUCCAGACUCCUCCGGGAGGCAGCAGUGGGGAAUAUUGCACAAGGGGCGCAAGCCUGAUGCAGCCAUGCGGCGUGUGUGAAGAAGGCCUUCGGGUUGUAAAGCACUUUCAGCGAGGAGGCGUUACUCGCAGAAGAAGCACCGGCUAACUCCGUGCCAGCAGCCGCGGUAAUUC